Molecule: ribosomal RNA, 253 nt
Filed under: uncultured bacterium
Lineage: Bacteria
Description: partial 16S ribosomal RNA
Rfam family: Bacterial small subunit ribosomal RNA
Source: RNAcentral
UACGGAGGGUGCAAGCGUUGUCCGGAAUUACUGGGUGUAAAGGGUCCGUAGGCGGAUCGGUAAGUCAGUGGUUAAAUCCUGCAGCUUAACUGUAGACUAUCCAUUGAUACUGCCGGUCUUGAGUGCGAGAGAGAUGAGUGGAAUUCCAAGUGUAGCGGUGAAAUGCGUAGAGAUUUGGAAGAACACCAGUUGCGAAGGCGGCUCAUUGGCUCGCUACUGACGCUGAGGGACGAAAGCAUGGGGAGCAAACAGG